CAAAAGGCUCUUCCCAGUGCCAUUCUGUCUGAUAUGCACAGAGCCACUCAAUUGCAUCAGCAGAAAGGUGU
Meleagris gallopavo (turkey) is the source of this 71-nucleotide non-coding RNA. The record is from Rfam. NCBI's taxonomy places the organism in Eukaryota, Metazoa, Chordata, Aves, Galliformes, Phasianidae.